RNAcentral lists this long non-coding RNA (711 nucleotides) under Lathyrus oleraceus (garden pea). RNAcentral describes it as "Pisum sativum (pea) long non-coding RNA (PSAT_LNC032989)". The record is from RNAcentral. Lineage: Eukaryota; Viridiplantae; Streptophyta; Magnoliopsida; Fabales; Fabaceae.
UAAAAGAUUAUGUAAUACAGUACUAGUAGUGUGUUGGGAUUCUCUGCUUCUGUUGCAAACUUGUUUUCUAUUCUAAACUAGGGUUAUGCAGUGUUGUUAACUAGCAGUUAUAGCAGGCGUUGCAAUUGACAACAUUGGAGAAAUGCUGAGGAAAAAGUUGUAAAAUGAGAUGAUCCAAUUUUCAGUAGUUGUAGUUCAAGUUUAACAGGUAAAAGACAAUGAAUGCGUGAUCUUGCGCAUGUUUCCAAGAUUUCUAGUUAAUGUGGGAUGAGGAUUGGGAAAAGUGAUAGAAUCGUGAUAGUAUGAGGAUUGGGAAAAGUGAUAGAAUCGUGAUAGUUACUCCUAACCCUUUUCACUAAGAAUCGUGAUAGUAUGAGGAUUGGGAAAAGUGAUAGAAUCGUGAUAGUAUGAGGAUUGGGAAAAGUGAUUCUGACAACCUUAUCUAUAUGGGAAGACCACCACCACAUUGGAAAACGUUAUUACUAUUGCCUAUUGCUAUUGGUAGUCAUUGUUGUGCCAACUUCUAAAAGACAAGAAAAACUAUGAGACUUACUAUUUACUACUCGCUCUGUCCUUUUUAAUGCUUUCUUUUCCUAUUUUUGUUUUUUAUCUAACAUUCUCAAUUACUUUUUCCCUUUACUUCCUCCGUUUCUUUUUAAAUAUUUAUUUUUUAAAAAAACAUUUUUUUAAUUAUUACUUGCAAAGUUUAAG